ACUCCUACGGGAGGCAGCAGUGGGGAAUAUUGGACAAUGGGCGAAAGCCUGAUCCAGCAAUGCCGCGUGAGUGAUGAAGGCCUUAGGGGUUGUAAAGCUCUUUUACCAGGGAUGAUAAUGACAGUACCUGGAGAAUAAGCUCCGGCUAACUCCGUGCCAGCAGCCGCGGUAAUACGGAGGGAGCUAGCGUUGUUCGGAAUUACUGGGCGUAAAGCGCGCGUAGGCGGUUACUCAAGUCAGAGGUGAAAGCCCGGGGCUCAACCCCGGAACUGCCUUUGAAACUAGGUGACUAGAAUCUUGGAGAGGUCAGUGGAAUUCCGAGUGUAGAGGUGAAAUUCGUAGAUAUUCGGAAGAACACCAGUGGCGAAGGCGACUGACUGGACAAGUAUUGACGCUGAGGUGCGAAAGCGUGGGAGCAAACAGGAUUAGAUACCCUGGUAGCGACUGA
RNAcentral lists this ribosomal RNA (448 nucleotides) under uncultured bacterium. Its description in RNAcentral is "bacterial SSU rRNA". It matches the Rfam family "Bacterial small subunit ribosomal RNA", at positions 335 to 803 of the family's 1533-position model. The record is from RNAcentral.